ACAGGGCUAGCUUUUCGGCGG
Molecule: unclassified non-coding RNA, 21 nt
Filed under: Mus musculus (house mouse)
Lineage: Eukaryota; Metazoa; Chordata; Mammalia; Rodentia; Muridae
Description: oocyte_clustered_small_RNA10675
Source: RNAcentral